AUGUACUGAGUCGGGGCCAGUACCAGAUAAGCACAUUAAACUAUGGUAACAACCGUUAGCUUACGUUAGCACAGAUGAAAGUUAAAACAAAGACGUUUAGCAAACUGUUAAAGCACACAAACCAUCUUCAUAUGAGAGAUCCAACGCUAUGACUCUCCACAAGUUGUCCUUCAGGUCGUUAUCUUUGUAAUGUUUGUGUCUUUUAUCAAAAAGCACUCUGUUUUCCGACACGUAAACAAUCAGCCGGUCGGCCAUGUUGGAAAUACCGGGGAAUCAGACGUUGCAACAACAGGCAAUCUG
Xyrichtys novacula (pearly razorfish) is the source of this 300-nucleotide non-coding RNA. The record is from the annotation of a GenBank genome assembly. Lineage: Eukaryota; Metazoa; Chordata; Actinopteri; Labriformes; Labridae.